This 393-nucleotide ribosomal RNA is filed under the name uncultured bacterium. RNAcentral describes it as "partial 16S ribosomal RNA". It matches the Rfam family "Bacterial small subunit ribosomal RNA", at positions 523 to 918 of the family's 1533-position model. The record is from RNAcentral.
AUACGGAGGAUCCGAGCGUUAUCCGGAUUUAUUGGGUUUAAAGGGAGCGUAGGUGGGAUAUUAAGUCAGCUGUGAAAGUUUGGGGCUCAACCUUAAAAUUGCAGUUGAUACUGGUUUCCUUGAGUACGGUACAGGUGGGCGGAAUUCGUGGUGUAGCGGUGAAAUGCUUAGAUAUCACGAAGAACUCCGAUCGCGAAGGCAGCUCACCGGGCCGGAACUGACACUGAUGCUCGAAAGUGCGGGUAUCAAACAGGAUUAGAUACCCUGGUAGUCCGCACAGUAAACGAUGAAUACUCGCUGUUUGCGAUACACUGUAAGCGGCCAAGCGAAAGCGUUAGGUAUUCCACCUGGGGAGUACGCCGGCAACGGUGAAACUUAAAGGAAUUGACGGGG